GAUGAACGCUAGCGGCAGGCCUAACACAUGCAAGUCGAGGGAGAGGUUACCUUCGGGUCACCCACACCGGCGCACGGGUGCGUAACGCGUAUACAAUCUGCCUUUCACAUAGGGAUAGCCCGAAGAAAUUUGGAUUAAUACCUAAUGGUAUAUAAAAGCGGCAUCGUUUUUAUUUUAAAGCUACGUUAGUGAAAGUUGAUUAUGGUUUCUUUUAUUAAGUUGGGGGGGAACGGCCCCCCCAGGGGGCGAUUGAUAGGGGUUUUGAGGGGGAUGUCCCCCACAAUGGGACUGAGAUACGGACCAGAAUCCUACGGGAGGGAGCAGGGAGGAAAAUUGGACAAUGGGCGGAAGAAUGAUCCAGCCAUGCCGGGUGCAGGAUGAAGGUCCUAGGGAUUGUAAACUGCUUUUGUAAGGGAAGAAUAAGAGCUACGUGUAGUUUUACGACGGUACCUUACGAAUAAGCAUCGGCUAACUCCGUG
This 479-nucleotide ribosomal RNA is filed under the name uncultured bacterium. Its description in RNAcentral is "partial 16S ribosomal RNA". It matches the Rfam family "Bacterial small subunit ribosomal RNA", at positions 28 to 507 of the family's 1533-position model. The record is from RNAcentral.